GAACUCCAAAAAUUAAUUGAAAAUCAAAAAAAAGGAGGAAAAUAUCCUUAGUGGCGCAUAGUUUUUCUCUGAUUCUUCUUCGCACUCUUCAAUAGUUGGUCGAACAUGUUAGUAGUGCAACAAGCAAGCACAAUUGGCCCAUCGAUCUUGGAUUCGAGGUCAUAGUCCCGAGACUGCCUGAUCAAUUCUUGCAAUGGAGGAAACCUCAGAUUCUCCACUGGAACUUCGUAUCUUUUGGCCUCUUCACCCACGUACAUGCCAAUAUAGCCUCUUCGAGCUCGAAGUGGGGUUUUAUUCCCAUUGUCGGUCCUGGAGAGCAGCUCGUACGAAGACGAUGACUUGCUUGCGCCUAACAUCUUGACGAGUACUGAACCGAUUUUCCUUGCAAAAGUUCUUGGCGAUGGCAUGGCUGAUGAUCGUACAAUCUGAGACUUACAAAGAAUUAAACUUAGGGUUGAUGAG
This 462-nucleotide unclassified non-coding RNA is filed under the name Hevea brasiliensis (rubber tree). The record is from RNAcentral. Lineage: Eukaryota; Viridiplantae; Streptophyta; Magnoliopsida; Malpighiales; Euphorbiaceae.